GACGAACGCUGGCGGCGUGCUUAACACAUGCAAGUCGAACGGAAAGGCCCUGCUUUUGUGGGGUGCUCGAGUGGCGAACGGGUGAGUAACACGUGAGUAACCUGCCCUUGACUUUGGGAUAACUUCAGGAAACUGGGGCUAAUACCGGAUAGGAGCUCCUGCUGCAUGGUGGGGGUUGGAAAGUUUCGGCGGUUGGGGAUGGACUCGCGGCUUAUCAGCUUGUUGGUGGGGUAGUGGCUUACCAAGGCUUUGACGGGUAGCCGGCCUGCGAGGGUGACCGGCCACAUUGGGACUGCGAUACGGCCCAGACUCCUACGGGAGGCAGCAGUGGGGAAUAUUGCACAAUGGGCGGAAGCCUGAUGCAGCAACGCCGCGUGCGGGAUGACGGCCUUCGGGUUGUAAACCGCUUUCGCCUGUGACGAAGCGUGAGUGACGGUAAUGGGUAAAGAAGCACCGGCUAACUACGUG
Molecule: ribosomal RNA, 468 nt
Filed under: uncultured bacterium
Lineage: Bacteria
Description: partial 16S ribosomal RNA
Rfam family: Bacterial small subunit ribosomal RNA
Source: RNAcentral